This 367-nucleotide ribosomal RNA is filed under the name Listeria monocytogenes. RNAcentral describes it as "bacterial SSU rRNA". It matches the Rfam family "Bacterial small subunit ribosomal RNA", at positions 1 to 356 of the family's 1533-position model. The record is from RNAcentral. Lineage: Bacteria; Bacillati; Bacillota; Bacilli; Caryophanales; Listeriaceae.
UUUAAAGAGAGUUUGAUCCUGGCUCAGGACGAACGCUGGCGGCGUGCCUAAUACAUGCAAGUCGAACGAACGGAGGAAGAGCUUGCUCUUCCAAUGUUAGUGGCGGACGGGUGAGUAACACGUGGGCAACCUGCCUGUAAGUUGGGGAUAACUCCGGGAAACCGGGGCUAAUACCGAAUGAUAAGAUGUGGCGCAUGCCACGCCUUUGAAAGAUGGUUUCGGCUAUCGCUUACAGAUGGGCCCGCGGUGCAUUAGCUAGUUGGUAGGGUAAUGGCCUACCAAGGCAACGAUGCAUAGCCGACCUGAGAGGGUGAUCGGCCACACUGGGACUGAGACACGGCCCAGACUCCUACGGGAGGCAGCAGUA